UUGAAAUCAUUCAUCUCUCACUCUCUGAUGGGGGUUGCUCUUCCUGUUUCCAUCAAUUCAACUUCACCACCCUUACUCAUGUUCGAAGCUUCGAUCUCCACCCUUACUCUGCAUCUUGUUCGUGAGCUUCGAGCUGAUCGAUGACCAAGAGUCUUCUUCUUCAUCCGAUUCAGAAAACAGCUAUGAUGCGAAGUCUCUAAAUAUAUACCCAGAUCUUCAACCUAAUCCAUUGCAACUCUUGGAGAACCUGGAGCAGCUUACAGUCCUUGAUAAUGGCAAUAAGAUGAAGGUACCUUGAAUUUUUGUAUAUAAGUCGUGUACUUGGAAGUGUUCUACACAACAAUAGUGAAACUACUGGUUUUCUUCUAUAGGAGUUUGCAUAAAAAUGUGGGGAAAAGUAUGCUGCAGUUCCACAUAAAUUCUAU
Molecule: long non-coding RNA, 425 nt
Organism: Lotus japonicus
Lineage: Eukaryota; Viridiplantae; Streptophyta; Magnoliopsida; Fabales; Fabaceae
Exons: 3
Source: RefSeq, a predicted model, not a curated record